RNAcentral lists this long non-coding RNA (502 nucleotides) under Fukomys damarensis (Damara mole-rat). RNAcentral describes it as "lncRNA (ENSFDAG00000032101.1)". The record is from RNAcentral. Lineage: Eukaryota; Metazoa; Chordata; Mammalia; Rodentia; Bathyergidae.
UGUGAAUGUAACCAAGUGUCAGCAUCCAGGAGAGCUCCAAAUAGGACCAAAGAUGUCCAUGUGUGCUGGAGGCUCGGUCCACUCACUUUCUCCCAAAAGCCUGAUGUCAGGAAAUAAUGAUGUGCUCCUGUUCCACUGCAGAAUGCUAGAUCCUUCCCAAGCUCUAUGUCAAUGCCAGAUAAGAUAAAUAUCGGAGCCCUCACAAGCCUUGCAUCCAGAAGACAGAUCUCAAAGCCCCAUUCUUCCUGCAGUCUUCCUGGGAGCUUAGAGGGUGAGUGACCCCUUAGUCAUUUCUGGGGUCUGGAUAAGGGGCUGGAGACCAGGGCACUGGAGAAAGGAUCUAAAAAUAAAGAUAAGUGUAGAAUGAAUAUUUUACUUCAUCAACAACAGGAUGAUUUAUCAACAUAUGGCAUGACUAGCAAUCUAUGUGACUGAAAACCAAGACAGCCUGCUGUUCACUCUGUGUCAAAACCCCAGCCUAGCUUAGCAUCUCUGAACCCAG